This 507-nucleotide long non-coding RNA is filed under the name Mus musculus (house mouse). RNAcentral describes it as "long non-coding RNA chr11:104674239-104674746". The record is from RNAcentral. Lineage: Eukaryota; Metazoa; Chordata; Mammalia; Rodentia; Muridae.
GUUAUCAGUCUAUCAGUGAAUUAAUCUAUUGACUAGAUCCAGAGCCUUUUAUGAUUUAAGCCUCCUUAAAACUCCUCUGAUUAUUGCAAUUGGGAUGAAUCUUUGAUAGAUAAGGUGUGUGUGUGUGUUUAUUUUGUAUCCAAACCCUUAUAUUCUGCCCUCAUAAGCUUAUGCCCAUAUACUAAUGAAAAAUUCAUUUAAGUCUGUUUUUAAGGAUCCACACACUAUCAGCGGUUUUUAUUGUCCAGGUCCAAAGUCAACUCUGAAGAGGUUCUAAGCUGGGACCUCUGGGAAAGAAACCAACAAAUGGGGUACGUGGUUGCUUUAGGAAACAGUGGGGACCAGUGUCAUGGUUCAGCCAGUGAAGUGCUUCACGGUAAACCUGGUGGCCUGAGUUCAAUCUGGGAGCUGAACAGAGGUGCAAGGAGAGAACCAACUCCACGGAGCUGUCCUCUGACCUCCACAUGCACGGUGGCAUAUGUCUGUCUACAUGUCACAUGCACACAC